GAUGAACGCUGGCGGCGUGCUUAACACAUGCAAGUCGAACGGAAAGGCCCAAGCUUGCUUGGGUGCUCGAGUGGCGAACGGGUGAGUAACACGUGGGUGAUCUGCCCUGCACUUUGGGAUAAGACUGGGAAACUGGGUCUAAUACCGGAUAGGACCAUCGUUUAGUGUCGGUGGUGGAAAGUUUUUCGGUGUGGGAUGAGCUCGCGGCCUAUCAGCUUGUUGGUGGGGUAAUGGCCUACCAAGGCGUCGACGGGUAGCCGGCCUGAGAGGGUGUACGGCCACAUUGAGACUGAGGUACGGCCCAGACUCCUACGGGAGGCAGCAGUGGGGAAUAUUGCACAAUGGGCGCAAGCCUGAUGCAGCGACGCCGCGUGGGGGAGGACGGCCUUCGGGUUGAAAACUCCUUUCGCAAAGGACGAAGCGUUUUGUGACGGUACUUGGAGAAGAAGCACCGGCUAACUACGUG
RNAcentral lists this ribosomal RNA (466 nucleotides) under uncultured bacterium. RNAcentral describes it as "partial 16S ribosomal RNA". It matches the Rfam family "Bacterial small subunit ribosomal RNA", at positions 28 to 507 of the family's 1533-position model. The record is from RNAcentral.